This 381-nucleotide ribosomal RNA is filed under the name Clostridioides difficile. Its description in RNAcentral is "bacterial SSU rRNA". It matches the Rfam family "Bacterial small subunit ribosomal RNA", at positions 711 to 1090 of the family's 1533-position model. The record is from RNAcentral. Lineage: Bacteria; Bacillati; Bacillota; Clostridia; Peptostreptococcales; Peptostreptococcaceae.
AGUUGCGAAGGCGGCUCUCUGGACUGUAACUGACGCUGAGGCACGAAAGCGUGGGGAGCAAACAGGAUUAGAUACCCUGGUAGUCCACGCUGUAAACGAUGAGUACUAGGUGUCGGGGGUUACCCCCUUCGGUGCCGCAGCUAACGCAUUAAGUACUCCGCCUGGGAAGUACGCUCGCAAGAGUGAAACUCAAAGGAAUGGACGGGGACCCGCACAAGUAGCGGAGCAUGUGGUUUAAUUCGAAGCAACGCGAAGAACCUUACCUAAGCUUGACAUCCCAAUGACAUCUCCUUAAUCGGAGAGUUCCCUUCGGGGACAUUGGUGACAGGUGGUGCAUGGUUGUCGUCAGCUCGUGUCGUGAGAUGUUGGGUUAAGUCCCGC